AUAAGGAUAUGAAAGCAUAUGCUGCUGGGUCCCAUAAAACAUGUCUUACAUAAGGCCAAAUUUCCAAUAUUGGGAGAUGUAGCAGAUCUACCUAAUACAUAGAAAUAAGCACAGAGAAGUAGGCAAAAU
Molecule: non-coding RNA, 129 nt
Organism: Ceratotherium simum simum (southern white rhinoceros)
Lineage: Eukaryota; Metazoa; Chordata; Mammalia; Perissodactyla; Rhinocerotidae
Source: RefSeq, a predicted model, not a curated record